This 380-nucleotide unclassified non-coding RNA is filed under the name fungal sp. RNAcentral's name for it is "partial internal transcribed spacer region". The stretch from base 1 to 46 matches the Rfam family "Eukaryotic small subunit ribosomal RNA", at positions 1786 to 1831 of the family's 1831-position model. Lineage: Eukaryota; Fungi. The record is from RNAcentral.
AAGUCGUAACAAGGUUUCCGUAGGUGAACCUGCGGAAGGAUCAUUAACACGUAUCCAACGUUAAAAACCCCGUGAACCUUUAUUCGCCGCUCCCACGGCUCAGUCGCGUAAAGCUAGCAAUCCCUGUACUCCAGUGCACCGUGGUUUCAGAGCGCUUGGUUAGUGGCUUGUUUUUCCCCAAGCAAUCAGUGGGUGACAGUGUCAUUGAUUGUGUAAGGAUUUCGCUUAGCGAUCACUGGAGGUCGAUCACCGACCGGUGGAUCAAGUCACAGGGCUUCGGCUCCCUCCCCAACCCCACUUCCUAUUGCCGCUCCGCGCUAACAACGCCGGGCAUUUAAAAACGUACUAAACAACUGUUAACAAUGGAUAUCUUGGUUCUC